Molecule: ribosomal RNA, 1282 nt
Filed under: Staphylococcus aureus VET0312R
Lineage: Bacteria; Bacillati; Bacillota; Bacilli; Caryophanales; Staphylococcaceae
Description: bacterial SSU rRNA
Rfam family: Bacterial small subunit ribosomal RNA
Source: RNAcentral
AGAGUUUGAUCCUGGCUCAGGAUGAACGCUGGCGGCGUGCCUAAUACAUGCAAGUCGAGCGAACGGACGAGAAGCUUGCUUCUCUGAUGUUAGCGGCGGACGGGUGAGUAACACGUGGAUAACCUACCUAUAAGACUGGGAUAACUUCGGGAAACCGGAGCUAAUACCGGAUAAUAUUUUGAACCGCAUGGUUCAAAAGUGAAAGACGGUCUUGCUGUCACUUAUAGAUGGAUCCGCGCUGCAUUAGCUAGUUGGUAAGGUAACGGCUUACCAAGGCAACGAUGCAUAGCCGACCUGAGAGGGUGAUCGGCCACACUGGAACUGAGACACGGUCCAGACUCCUACGGGAGGCAGCAGUAGGGAAUCUUCCGCAAUGGGCGAAAGCCUGACGGAGCAACGCCGCGUGAGUGAUGAAGGUCUUCGGAUCGUAAAACUCUGUUAUUAGGGAAGAACAUAUGUGUAAGUAACUGUGCACAUCUUGACGGUACCUAAUCAGAAAGCCACGGCUAACUACGUGCCAGCAGCCGCGGUAAUACGUAGGUGGCAAGCGUUAUCCGGAAUUAUUGGGCGUAAAGCGCGCGUAGGCGGUUUUUUAAGUCUGAUGUGAAAGCCCACGGCUCAACCGUGGAGGGUCAUUGGAAACUGGAAAACUUGAGUGCAGAAGAGGAAAGUGGAAUUCCAUGUGUAGCGGUGAAAUGCGCAGAGAUAUGGAGGAACACCAGUGGCGAAGGCGACUUUCUGGUCUGUAACUGACGCUGAUGUGCGAAAGCGUGGGGAUCAAACAGGAUUAGAUACCCUGGUAGUCCACGCCGUAAACGAUGAGUGCUAAGUGUUAGGGGGUUUCCGCCCCUUAGUGCUGCAGCUAACGCAUUAAGCACUCCGCCUGGGGAGUACGACCGCAAGGUUGAAACUCAAAGGAAUUGACGGGGACCCGCACAAGCGGUGGAGCAUGUGGUUUAAUUCGAAGCAACGCGAAGAACCUUACCAAAUCUUGACAUCCUUUGACAACUCUAGAGAUAGAGCCUUCCCCUUCGGGGGACAAAGUGACAGGUGGUGCAUGGUUGUCGUCAGCUCGUGUCGUGAGAUGUUGGGUUAAGUCCCGCAACGAGCGCAACCCUUAAGCUUAGUUGCCAUCAUUAAGUUGGGCACUCUAAGUUGACUGCCGGUGACAAACCGGAGGAAGGUGGGGAUGACGUCAAAUCAUCAUGCCCCUUAUGAUUUGGGCUACACACGUGCUACAAUGGACAAUACAAAGGGCAGCGAAACCGCGAGGUCAAGCAAA